Long non-coding RNA from Penaeus indicus, 391 nucleotides. RefSeq lists it as uncharacterized. Lineage: Eukaryota; Metazoa; Arthropoda; Malacostraca; Decapoda; Penaeidae. The transcript has 4 exons. The record is from RefSeq and is a predicted model, not a curated record.
CUCAAAGAUUCCGUGUGAGGUAGUGUAUCAGCAGAAGGUGUGGAUUUUUCUGUCUCGUGAAACAAACAUUCCAUUUUCCUUGCCGUCGCGUUGGCGACCGAAAAGGAUUCCAGAAAAAGAAAGAACCGGCCACCGAAGACAGAAGGAAACCCGCAAACAGGCAAGAAAACCGGGAAAUGAUGGUGCACCAGGCCGCCGAGAGACGCGGGUGAAGACCACCUCGGGAGCUCAGGUUCGCCUCGUGCUCCAGAGAAGCUGUAGAGCAGAACCAGGCAACGGCGGUGACGGUCUCGGCUGUGCCUCCGGUGACGUCAUCACUUCUUCCUGAAGAUUGCAACUUCCGGCGGAUGAACUGAAGAAGUUACUUGGCUCGGUGGUGAGUAAAUCUCGA